RNAcentral lists this ribosomal RNA (621 nucleotides) under Triticum aestivum (bread wheat). RNAcentral describes it as "partial small subunit ribosomal RNA". The record is from RNAcentral. Lineage: Eukaryota; Viridiplantae; Streptophyta; Magnoliopsida; Poales; Poaceae.
AUGAUAGUGCGUUUCCACGAAGAUGAAGUAAUCUACCACAGCUUUGACAAUGCGGAGGACGACCCAUAUGGCUACUAUGCUCUUGAGUUUCUUAACGGAUUGACUCCUAAUGGUCUUCCUCCACAUGCACUGAAACUAAAGCUGAACUACCCGGUCAUUCUUCUAAGCAACAUUGAUCCAGCUAAUGGACUGUGUAACGGGACUAGGCUUGUUGUUAGAGGUUUUGAGAGGAACACCAUUGAUGCAGUAAUCGUGAUUGGACAGCACAUUGGUAGGAGGGUCUUCCUUCCUCGAAUACCUCUAUGCCUAUCUGACAACGACAUGUUUCCAUUCAACUUUAAGAGGAAGCAAUUUCCUAUAAGUCUUAGCUUUGCUAUGACGAUUAACAAGGCUCAAGGGUAGACCAUCCCGAUUGUUAGUGUGUAUCUUCCUAAUCCGGUGUUCUCUCAUGGUCAACUCUAUGUUGCUUUGUCUCGAGCCACCACGAAGAGAACAUAAAGACUUAUUCAGAAGGAGAAGUCCAACAAGCAAAAUAAGAAUCCAAAGAAGCGAAAAAGACCGACCGUGUCCUUGCUGACCUCAAUGAAGAACAUCAUCUACAGGGAAGUACUUACAGGUUGA